This 164-nucleotide ribosomal RNA is filed under the name Dryas octopetala. RNAcentral describes it as "5.8S ribosomal RNA". It matches the Rfam family "5.8S ribosomal RNA". Rfam says of the family: 5.8S ribosomal RNA (5.8S rRNA) is a component of the large subunit of the eukaryotic ribosome. It is transcribed by RNA polymerase I as part of the 45S precursor that also contains 18S and 28S rRNA. The record is from RNAcentral. Lineage: Eukaryota; Viridiplantae; Streptophyta; Magnoliopsida; Rosales; Rosaceae.
AAAACGACUCUCGGCAACGGAUAUCUCGGCUCUCGCAUCGAUGAAGAACGUAGCGAAAUGCGAUACUUGGUGUGAAUUGCAGAAUCCCGUGAACCAUCGAGUCUUUGAACGCAAGUUGCGCCCGAAGCCAUUAGGCCGAGGGAACGCCUGCCUGGGCGUCACAC